RNAcentral lists this ribosomal RNA (446 nucleotides) under uncultured bacterium. Its description in RNAcentral is "partial 16S ribosomal RNA". It matches the Rfam family "Bacterial small subunit ribosomal RNA", at positions 338 to 795 of the family's 1533-position model. The record is from RNAcentral.
CCUACGGGUGGCAGCAGUCGAGAAUUAUUCACAAUGGGGGAAACCCUGAUGGUGCGACGCCGCGUGGGGGAAUGAAGGUCUUCGGAUUGUAAACCCCUGUCAUGUGGGAGCAAAUUAAAAAGAUCGUACCACAAGAGGCAGAGACGGCUAACUCUGUGCCAGCAGCCGCGGGAAUACAGAGGUCUCAAGCGUUGUUCGGAAGCACUGGGCGUAAAGCGUGCGUAGGCUGUUUCGUAAGUCGUGUGUGAAAGGCGCGGGCUCAACCCGCGGACGGAACAUGAUACUGCGAGACUAGAGUAAUGGAGGGGGAACCGGAAUUCUCGGUGUAGCAGUGAAAUGCGUAGAUAUCGAGAGGAACACUCGUGGCGAAGGCGGGUUCCUGGACAGUAACUGACGCUGAGGCACGAAGGCCAGGGGAGCGAAAGGGAUUAGAUACCCUAGUAGUC